UUUUUUUUGUAUUCACCACGUAAUCCAAAUGAACCACCAUAUCCAAGCACCGUCACCACAACUGGUAUGAGGUUAUGGCACUGCAAUUGGUGGCUCGGCUAUUGUGAGGUUGUGAUAUGUUUUUUUCUGUUGUACACUAAAACAGAAGUUCUUCACACCCAAAUCAAGUUGGUUUGAGAUUUCAUAGAAGUAUGAAACACUGCCCUGGAUUACUAGAUAUGAAAAUGUAUAGCCCUAGCACGCAAGAGUAAAGAAACACACCCCUAACCAUCAAAGUGUCAUCCCAGAAAUAAUUCAAUGGACAAAGGAACCAGAUUUCGCUAUGAGAUAUAUAAAUAUCCCAACCCUAAAUCACGCAUCCCCGCCAGCAAAUCGAAUCCCCGCACCACCAAACCCUAGCACUGGAAUGCGAG
RNAcentral lists this long non-coding RNA (413 nucleotides) under Hordeum vulgare. Its description in RNAcentral is "long non-coding RNA (HVUL_LNC004432)". The record is from RNAcentral. Lineage: Eukaryota; Viridiplantae; Streptophyta; Magnoliopsida; Poales; Poaceae.